Molecule: ribosomal RNA, 460 nt
Filed under: uncultured bacterium
Lineage: Bacteria
Description: partial 16S ribosomal RNA
Rfam family: Bacterial small subunit ribosomal RNA
Source: RNAcentral
CCUACGGGAGGCAGCAGUGAGGAAUAUUGGUCAAUGGACGAGAGUCUGAACCAGCAAAGCAGCGUGAAGGAUGACUGUCCUAUGGGUUGUAAACUUCUUUUAUAUGGGAAUAAAAUGUUCCACGUGCGUGAUUUUGUAUGUACCAUAUGAAUAAGGAUCGGCUAACUCCGUGCCAGCAGCCGCGGUAAUACGGAGGAUCCGAGCGUUAUCCGGAUUUAUUGGGUGUAAAGGGAGCGUAGGUGGAUUGUUAAGUCAGUUGUGAAAGUUUGCGGCUCAACCGUAAAAUUGCAGUUGAAACUGGCAGUCUUGAGUACAGUAGAGGUGGACGGAAUUCGUGGUGUAGCGGUGAAAUGCUUAGAUAUCACGAAGAACUCCGAUUGCGAAGGCAGUUCACUGGACUGCAACUGACACUGAGGCUCGAAAGUGUGGGUAUCAAACAGGAUUAGAUACCCGUGUAGUC